UCCCAGGUGGCUCAGACGGUAAAGAAUCUGCUUGCAAUGCAGGAGACCCGGGUUUGAUCCCUGGGUUGGGAA
Molecule: transfer RNA, 72 nt
Filed under: Bos taurus (domestic cattle)
Lineage: Eukaryota; Metazoa; Chordata; Mammalia; Artiodactyla; Bovidae
Also listed under: 3 other names
Rfam family: tRNA
About the family: Transfer RNA (tRNA) molecules are approximately 80 nucleotides in length.
Source: Rfam by way of RNAcentral